This is a long non-coding RNA of Zeugodacus cucurbitae (melon fly), 1531 nucleotides long. RefSeq lists it as uncharacterized. The transcript is spliced from 3 exons. The record is from RefSeq and is a predicted model, not a curated record. NCBI's taxonomy places the organism in Eukaryota, Metazoa, Arthropoda, Insecta, Diptera, Tephritidae.
CACAAUUUUUGUAACUUCCAAUCGUGUUAAAUAAGUGCUGGAGGGAAUACAUUAGUCAGGUAAAGAAGUAAAUAUUGAAAUCUUCACAUAUUUUUAUAUUUUCAAUCAACAAACAUUUAAAGAAGAAAAGACCAUUGGAAUUAAAAAAGUUUCCGUGAAUGUAGAAUAUGGAAGAUACUAGCACAUGUGGGAGAUACCAGCGAGAAGUUUGUGCAAAACUCGUGGCCUCAGUUCGUUUGCGAUGUUUAAAUCAACAGACUCCAUAUUUACAAUACCGUGUAAUUGCAUAUACGAAUAUUCGGAAUCGGAAGUCAUGAGGCAUCACCAAUAACCAACAUUGGUUUUGUGUUCUCUUCCCAUUUUUGCUUAUAUUCAAACACAUGUACUUAUAAAUUAUUUGGUGGAGUCUAUACAUCGCAAAGCUUUAGCUACACGAAAUGUGCCUGAGAUUUGGUGUUGCUGGUCGAAUAGGAUGAUCACGAAACAACGCAUGAAGUUUAUCGCAAUAAGCACUGCCUCCUCAAAGGUUUUCAUUGCCUUAGUGGAUGUUUCGACUUUUUAACGCCUGCUUCUGAUAGUCUGCAAUAGUUUUCUCCAAGUUGCCGCUGUACUAAUAAACCGCCCGCCAGCGAUCUAUCCGCAAUCAUGAACUCAAAAAUUUUACUAAAUUCUCAUAUGCACGUGAACAUAUUGGUGUUAGUUUCACCGAGAGUAUCUAUGUGUAUUUCUGGAUUUUGUUUGUUACUCGCUCAACUCAUGCCGUUCGUACUCAUCUGGGAGGUGAGCGCACUAACGUAUCACUUACGUAAGGUGAAACAUAGCGAUACAAUGUACAAUAUGCUCGAAAGAGUUAACACGACUUUACGAGUGAAGAAAACAAGUAAAUUUGAAAUAUAAAUACAACUAAAAUGUAUCUUUUAGAUAAAAAAAAUGCGGUCGUUGCAAAUUUAGUGCUUCAAUCAACUGAAAAAGAGCACUGCAGAAGUAACAAAUUGCAAAGACAGCUGAAAUCAUAUGUGUCGUCUUUGGUAAAAAGCUUGAAAGUUACAAAAAUUUUAAUUCUUUAGAAUCCAAGCAUGAUUUCGAAUAUUAGUAUAUUGGAUACCCCAACAUCCAAAAAAACUAUAUAUUUCAAAUAAACAUGAAAUGCAUCGAACGAUAUACAUAUGUGAGUAUAUAAUAAAGUUGCUGUAUACACUAUUGGAAUUUUGUGGAUUAAUGUACGGCAAACAACACAUCACCUAGACAGAUUCAUUGAAUACGAAUCACUCCAACAAGACUGAUAUUUGAAUACUAGAUCUCUGCUUUGGAGAAUUACGACGACUAAAAAUUAGAGGUACAAACUACAUAUAAGCGAUCGCAUUUAUACAUACAGAAAUCAUAGAAUUUCACAAUCACUCAUGAUAUAAAUAAUUUUGGAGUUUGGAAAAAAACAUCGUGACCGUAAUUAACAUAUGUGUAAAGCUUAUAUAAAAAGAUCGCAAUAAUAAACUUUUGUAACUAUUAAAUUUUUAUACAUAUAUAACUUAAA